AUGAUUAGUACGUUUUUUGAUUUGACGUGCAAUAGACUUUCUCUGCAGUUAUUUUUUAGAAAGACAACUUUAAUAAUGUUUUCUUGUACCAUGGUAUAGGAUUUCUAUACCAUGCUUUAGCUACUGUAAAAUUUCAUCUUUUCUUGGCCCACAUCCACAUACUGAGACAGUGAAAAGCUGAGAAUAAUGUGCCUUCAAUGUAGAUGAUUAACAUUGAAUGGUGGUCUCCAUGAGCAAGAACCCAGUAUCCAGUACCAUCUUAAUCAUCACCGGGUGUCGAACUGUCGAUGUCUCUCGUUUGGUUUAAGUAGUGGACUCUGGAUUGACACAGCUAUCGGUAAGUGCCCCAUAAUUGUAAAUGAAAUAAGUAAAUCAACAGCAAGCCAAAGGUAAAUUACCAAUAUGUGUUUAUUCGUUCACUUGUUUUGCGGCUGUGUGCUAUUAACGCUAUUAACCCAUUAAACACGCUACAUUGCAAAUGAUCAAACAUUUUUAUCCCCCUCCC
Daphnia pulex (common water flea) is the source of this 505-nucleotide long non-coding RNA. RefSeq lists it as uncharacterized. The transcript is spliced from 3 exons. The record is from RefSeq and is a predicted model, not a curated record. NCBI's taxonomy places the organism in Eukaryota, Metazoa, Arthropoda, Branchiopoda, Diplostraca, Daphniidae.